GGGCAACCUGCCCGGCGCGGCCGCCCGGCUGCAGGGCUACUGGGCUGCUGGCACGUGGCGCCCAGCCCGACGACAAUGGCGUGCCGACGUGCCGUGCCGUGAGUGCAAGGCCCACGCGCGCUUCUGCGAGGUCCACUGCCUGCUGCGCGCGGCGCUGGAGCACAGCUGCUCGGGCCUGGGCGUGACGCAGGCGGGCUGGCGGGACCAGCUGCGUGCAGGGGCUGCGGAGCAGGGGCCUGGCCACGCCGCCGCAGGUGGAGCUGCUGCUGGAGCUUGGGCGCUGGCUGGUGGUGAAGAAGGAGUGGCGGUGGGCGAGGCGGCUGGUGAGCGGUUGCUGAGGGGUUGAUGGGACGGUGGCGAGGGUGGUGAGCAACGCGGGGUGAUUCGCGCGGUAGGUUUGCCAGCAGUGCGCUCUAGCCGUCUAGGUGCUCGUUGAGCCGCUCUAGGCCAGACUUCAUCGUUGGGGCAUGCGAGCUCUGAUGUUGUGUUUAUGCAUUACUUUGUGUGUUGCAUUGGCGUGUGCAGUGGUCAAGCGAAGGGGGGAAGCGAAGGAGGCGCGAUGCAGGGAUGGACGGAUACGGCGGGGUCACGGCGGGGCAGGUUACGGGCAGGUGCACGGCUGGCUGGCGGUGAUUGCAAUACAACUAGACACGGCUGGAUCGCUAGCCGCUAGAUGGCUGGAGGCGAGGACCAACACAGGCAUGGCAUACUGCAAGGCCCACUGCGAUUCUGAGGGCACUUCCCUACAGACGUUAAGUGACACCCGGUGACACGGUGUGACGGUGGCCGUGUGUGGGGGACAAGCCUGUUUACCAGCAGGGAUCGCUUACGGUACAUCCCUUUGCCAAUCAGCAAGCUCCCCCGCUGUAGCGUUUUGAGCCCGUAUUACUGCGCUGGUAAUUUGAGGGCCGCGGCUGGCUGCUCGGGCGACGCAUCCGCGCAACCGCAUCCUGACAUUCGUGUGGCGGGUUACAGUCCUCACCCUGGGAGGAACCCAGCUUGUCCAGGUAAACCACCGCAGCUAUCUUUCCAGGCACUGCAGGUACUCCGCCUCCUCGUUACCAGCCGUGCUCUUAGGAAACGAUGAGCGCUUUUAGGCAAAUGUCCAUCAAGUUUGCACCCGCCGCCAACCGCCAACCCUGUGCACCCACGCCCGAACCCUGGUUUUCGUUGCAAGCGCAUGCUCUGAGUAACCAC
RNAcentral lists this long non-coding RNA (1197 nucleotides) under Chlamydomonas reinhardtii. Its description in RNAcentral is "long non-coding RNA (CREI_LNC000452)". Lineage: Eukaryota; Viridiplantae; Chlorophyta; Chlorophyceae; Chlamydomonadales; Chlamydomonadaceae. The record is from RNAcentral.